GCCUGGGUGGCUCAGUCGGUUGAGCGUCCGACUUCAGCUCAGGUCAUGAUCCAAUGGUCUGUGGGUUCGAGCCCCGCGUCAGGCU
Molecule: transfer RNA, 85 nt
Filed under: Felis catus (domestic cat)
Lineage: Eukaryota; Metazoa; Chordata; Mammalia; Carnivora; Felidae
Rfam family: tRNA
About the family: Transfer RNA (tRNA) molecules are approximately 80 nucleotides in length. Their secondary structure includes four short double-helical elements and three loops (D, anti-codon, and T loops).
Source: Rfam by way of RNAcentral